GAGCGGCGGACGGGUGAGUAACGCGUGGGUAACCUGCCCUAUACACACGGAUAACGUACCGAAAGGUACGCUAAUACGAGAUAACAUAUUUUUAUCGCAUGGUAAGAAUAUCAAAGCUCCGGCGGUAUAGGAUGGACCCGCGUCUGAUUAGCUAGUUGGUAAGGUAACGGCUUACCAAGGCGACGAUCAGUAGCCGACCUGAGAGGGUGAUCGGCCACAUUGGAGCUGAGACACGGUCCAAACUCCUACGGGAGGCAGCAGUGGGGAAUAUUGCACAAUGGGCGAAAGCCUGAUGCAGCAACGCCGCGUGAGCGAUGAAGGCCUUCGGGUCGUAAAGCUCUGUCCUCAAGGAAGAUAAUGACGGUACUUGAGGAGGAAGCCCCGGCUAACUACGUGCCAGCAGCCGCGGUAAUACGUA
RNAcentral lists this ribosomal RNA (418 nucleotides) under uncultured bacterium. RNAcentral's name for it is "bacterial SSU rRNA". It matches the Rfam family "Bacterial small subunit ribosomal RNA", at positions 93 to 529 of the family's 1533-position model. The record is from RNAcentral.